GACCAAACAGUGAGGGCCAGAGCUGCAACUAAGUAUGUCCAUAGUAAGAGAACGGAGCACUCGUCUUGUCCCACAUUGAACAGCUGUGUCAUGGUGGGACGGUAAACUGAAGCAUCAAAGCAUAUUGAAACAAAGGAUCUUCCGGGAGAAACCCGAGAAUCUCAGCUGUUUUGACAACCCCUAUACCGAUAGCUGGGAGAAUUAUGUACCGAACACAGACAAUCCCGGCUAUUACAGGGGGUUUGAUGGCUGAAGAACGUAACCCUUGUUGAUUCAAAACCGCAACAGUCAAUAACAGUAAAGGGUGAAUCGAGGAGGCGGGUUUUGAGGUCAGACUCUAAGUCAGUAUUGGAUGGUUUGAUUGCCGCCUCUUCAGAUUCCUCAAUGGCUUUGAAUGUUGCAGCUGAACCUUUUAUCAAUCGGAAUGUGAAAGGAGAACCAUCAUAAUACAUACCGCCAUAGAGAAAGACGCGUACGAGAGUCCAAGGCUUCUGCAAACACUCCGGUUCCCGAAAGGACUCUUGUCCUCGCUGCAGAUUGCCGGGACAAGUAUUACUGGAAGGUUUCCCAUGUUUCCUUCACCAGGAAAUCAUCGCCACAAGAAAACUGAGGAUUUCGAUACCUGAAGAACAAGCAGCGAUGACCAGACCUUCGAGAUAAGGCACGGGUUUCAGAAGCUUAACAAGAAUCCAACCAAGAAUUCCUCCGAUCAGGAAGUGAAGAAAGAGAGGCAGAACCUCGAGAGUUUACCAUGAUACCAUGUCCUCGAGCGUGACCGUCUUUGCCAGAUUAGCAAACAUGAGGCAAGGCGCAAACGCUACAAACACUACCUACAUUCAUGAUUCAAACUUUUUGUACUCAACCCAUAUUUCCAGAGAUUCAGCAUCAAACGAUGAAGAGAGUAGAGACAGGUUGAGGCGUACC
This is a long non-coding RNA of Tarenaya hassleriana, 924 nucleotides long. RefSeq lists it as uncharacterized. The transcript is spliced from 6 exons. NCBI's taxonomy places the organism in Eukaryota, Viridiplantae, Streptophyta, Magnoliopsida, Brassicales, Cleomaceae. The record is from RefSeq and is a predicted model, not a curated record.